GAUCCUGGCUCAGAUUGAACGCUGGCGGCAUGCCUUACACAUGCAAGUCGAACGGCAGCACGGGAGCAAUACUGGGUGGCGACCGGCGCACGGGUGCGUAACGCGUAUACAAUUUACCUUUACUAGGGGAUAGCCCAGAGAAAUUUGGAUUAAUACCCUAUAGUAUUAUCGGAUCGCAUGGUUUGGUAAUUAAAGUUUCGGCGGUAAGAGAUGAGUAUGCGUCCUAUUAGCUAGAUGGUAAGGUAACGGCUUACCAUGGCUAUGAUAGGUAGGGGUCCUGAGAGGGAGAUCCCCCACACUGGUACUGAGACACGGACCAGACUCCUACGGGAGGCAGCAGUGAGGAAUAUUGGUCAAUGGGCGCAAGCCUGAACCAGCCAUGCCGCGUGCAGGAUGACUGCCCUAUGGGUUGUAAACUGCUUUUUUACAGGAAGAAACCCUACCAUGCGUGGUAGAUUGACGGUACUGUAUGAAUAAGCACCGGCUAACUCCGUG
Molecule: ribosomal RNA, 495 nt
Filed under: uncultured bacterium
Lineage: Bacteria
Description: bacterial SSU rRNA
Rfam family: Bacterial small subunit ribosomal RNA
Source: RNAcentral